AAAGCUCACUGGCAGCAGAGAUAUACCAUAAUAAAGAAGAUAGUUUUCCCAGGGCAAGGCUCCAAGACUCAUCCAUCACCCGAGGCAUGUACUGACCUCUACAAUUUCUGCAAAUUUGGGGAAAUGGAUUGUAUAAUUUAUGAUAGUACGAGCUUAUGUUCAUAUGAAUGCUCCCC
This 176-nucleotide small nuclear RNA is filed under the name Microtus ochrogaster (prairie vole). RNAcentral describes it as "U1 spliceosomal RNA (ENSMOCG00000006490.1)". It matches the Rfam family "U1 spliceosomal RNA". From Rfam's summary of the family: U1 is a small nuclear RNA (snRNA) component of the spliceosome (involved in pre-mRNA splicing). The record is from RNAcentral. Lineage: Eukaryota; Metazoa; Chordata; Mammalia; Rodentia; Cricetidae.